GGUGUAUAGCUCAGUGGUGAGCAUUCGACUGCAGAUCGAGAGGUCCCUCGUUCAAACCCGAGGCCCCA
Molecule: non-coding RNA, 68 nt
Organism: Araneus ventricosus
Lineage: Eukaryota; Metazoa; Arthropoda; Arachnida; Araneae; Araneidae
Source: the annotation of a GenBank genome assembly